This 618-nucleotide ribosomal RNA is filed under the name uncultured bacterium. Its description in RNAcentral is "bacterial SSU rRNA". It matches the Rfam family "Bacterial small subunit ribosomal RNA", at positions 338 to 950 of the family's 1533-position model. The record is from RNAcentral.
CCUACGGGAGGCAGCAGUGGGGAAUUUUGGACAAUGGGCGAAAGCCUGAUCCAGCAAUGCCGCGUGAGUGAAGAAGGCCUUCGGGUUGUAAAGCUCUUUUGUCAGGGAAGAAACGGUGAGAGCUAAUAUCUUUUGCUAAUGACGGUACCUGAAGAAUAAGCACCGGCUAACUACGUGCCAGCAGCCGCGGUAAUACGUAGGGUGCAAGCGUUAAUCGGAAUUACUGGGCGUAAAGCGUGCGCAGGCGGUUUUGUAAGUCUGAUGUGAAAUCCCCGGGCUCAACCUGGGAAUUGCAUUGGAGACUGCAAGGCUAGAAUCUGGCAGAGGGGGGUAGAAUUCCACGUGUAGCAGUGAAAUGCGUAGAUAUGUGGAGGAACACCGAUGGCGAAGGCAGCCCCCUGGGUCAAGAUUGACGCUCAUGCACGAAAGCGUGGGGAGCAAACAGGAUUAGAUACCCUGGUAGUCCACGCCCUAAACGAUGUCUACUAGUUGUCGGGUCUUAAUUGACUUGGUAACGCAGCUAACGCGUGAAGUAGACCGCCUGGGGAGUACGGUCGCAAGAUUAAAACUCAAAAUGAAAUUGACCGGNNGAGAGNGCGAGACGACACGAGGGAGGAG